Long non-coding RNA from Rhipicephalus microplus (southern cattle tick), 594 nucleotides. Lineage: Eukaryota; Metazoa; Arthropoda; Arachnida; Ixodida; Ixodidae. The record is from RefSeq and is a predicted model, not a curated record.
AGCAGUGCUCGUAGCGGAAUUGCUUCCAGACAAGGUGCUCUACUGCACGGCGACUCGUGUGGCGGAAGAAGCCGAUCCCACAGCGAGACAUCAGCCUGCACUGGCGGAGCGAAGCUUGAUUGACCGAGGCUACGCGAUUUCCUGCACGGCGGCCGCCACACUGCGGAAGAUCGACGGCAACAUCAGAGGAGCGAAUGCGAUGUGGAUGCUUCACGCAAGAAACCUCUGUGAAAAGGGGAGUCCACAACCUUUGGUCAAGCAAGUGUCUUGCUCCUGUGCCCAACCACGCUCUUUCUUCCGUCUGCAUCGAGCCUACCGGACCAAGCGCAGUCGUCGAGUGUCAAAAGAAGGCCGUAAACGAGAAAAAUGUUCUAGUGAACUUGAGUUUCACAGGCUGUACGAGCAAUUUCUCGUAGCUAACAGUCCACGACAACCACGGCACACUGCGCUGCAGUGAACAGUUUCUUAAAACUGCUCAUUUUUCUAUCGGUCAAGGAUGACCCGAGCAUUACAGUGAUUUCUAUCGCCAGUGUCAUCGAAGUAUGAACACUCAGUGGUCUUCAAUAUUGUUAAUAAAAUCUGAUUGAAGCGCCA